GAUGAACGCUGGCGGCGUGCCUAAUACAUGCAAGUCGAGCGAACAGGCGAGGAGCUUGCUCCUCUGACGUUAGCGGCGGACGGGUGAGUAACACGUGGAUAACCUACCUAUAAGACUGGGAUAACUUCGGGAAACCGGAGCUAAUACCGGAUAAUAUAUUGAACCGCAUGGUUCAAUAGUGAAAGACGGUUUUGCUGUCACUUAUAGAUGGAUCCGCGCCGCAUUAGCUAGUUGGUAAGGUAACGGCUUACCAAGGCAACGAUGCGUAGCCGACCUGAGAGGGUGAUCGGCCACACUGGAACUGAGACACGGUCCAGACUCCUACGGGAGGCAGCAGUAGGGAAUCUUCCGCAAUGGGCGAAAGCGUGACGGAGCAAAGCCGCGUGAGUGAUGAAGGUCUUCGGAUCGUAAAACUCUGUUAUUAGGGAAGAACAAAUGUGUAAGUAACUAUGCACGUCUUGACGGUACCUAAUCAGAAAGCCACGGCUAACUACGUG
RNAcentral lists this ribosomal RNA (497 nucleotides) under uncultured bacterium. RNAcentral's name for it is "partial 16S ribosomal RNA". It matches the Rfam family "Bacterial small subunit ribosomal RNA", at positions 28 to 507 of the family's 1533-position model. The record is from RNAcentral.